GGGGAAUCUUGCGCAAUGGGCGCAAGCCUGAUCCAGCAAUGCCGCGUGAGUGAUGAAGGCCUUAGGGUUGUAAAGCUCUUUUACCCGGGAUGAUAAUGACAGUACCGGGAGAAUAAGCUCCGGCUAACUCCGUGCCAGCAGCCGCGGUAAUACGGAGGGGGCUAGCGUUGUUCGGAAUUACUGGGCGUAAAGCGCACGUAGGCGGCUUUGUAAGUUAGAGGUGAAAGCCCGGAGCUCAACUCCGGAAUUGCCUUUAAGACUGCAUCGCUCGAAUCAUGGAGAGGUGAGUGGAAUUCCGAGUGUAGCGGUGAAAUUCGUAGAUAUUCGGAGGAACACCAGUGGCGAAGGCGGCUUACUGGUCCAUUACUGACGCUGAGGUGCGAAAGCGUGGGGAGCAAA
RNAcentral lists this ribosomal RNA (399 nucleotides) under uncultured bacterium. RNAcentral's name for it is "bacterial SSU rRNA". It matches the Rfam family "Bacterial small subunit ribosomal RNA", at positions 356 to 772 of the family's 1533-position model. The record is from RNAcentral.